GGAGGUGAAAUUCGAGCAGAGACAGAAAGUACAUGAGCUGGUGACUCAGGAAGAAGAACUCUUCUUGACAAAGAAAAAAACGUGAAAUGGUUUUAAAGAGGGAAUGUGUUGGGGUCUUUGAGAAACUGCAAGUUGGUCAGGGAUUCAGAAGUGAAAGCAAACUGGGCAGGAAUAGAAAGAGCUGAGAUCAGAAAGGCAAUGGGCAAGACCCUGGAUCCCAACUGGGCAGGAAUAGAAAGAGCUGAGAUCAGAAAGGCAAUGGGCAAGACCCUGGAUCCCUGUACACACCUAGCAAGGACUCUGAUGUUUUUUUCUAGAUGUGAUGGGAAGGGUUUGGAGAAUUCUGAGCAUGCAAAAGACAUGCCUUGAUUUUUAUAUUCUUAAGAAUCAUUGUGACUUCACUAUGAAAUACAGAGCAUAGGGGGUGAGAAUGAAAACAGGGAGAUGAGGCAGGAGGCUCUUGCCCUAGCCCAGGAGAGAGUGGAUUAUAUCUUAGACCAGCAUGGAAUCUUGAGAAGAUGAGCUAUGUAUUAAAGGUAAGGCCAACAGGAUCUGAUGAUGGAUUUGGUGUGUUGUCACAGAAGAGGAGAGGUGUGAGAAAGGCUCCAAGGAUCAUGGCCGGAGUGACCAGCGAAGAGAGAAGAGAACCCACUUGUUACCUGGAAAUACCGGGAAAGGAGCAAGUUUUGGAGUGUGGGUGAAGGGCAGUCAAGAAGUCUGUCUUGAAUGUCAAGUAGAAAUCAGGUCACUCCUCGACUCAGAGUCUUCCAGUGGCAUCCCAUCUCUCUCAUGACAAAGGCAACAUCCUCACAGUGACCCAGAUUCCUGAAUGACCUCCUCUCCUACCCCUCUUCUCUUCUCUUGCUCUACUCCAGGUACACUGGCUGUAUUUGUCCAGCUGCUGAUAAAGACAUACCUCAGACUGGGCAAUUUAUGAAAGAGGUUUAAUAGACUCACAGUUCCACGUGGCUGGGGAGACCUCACAAUCAUGGUGGAAGGUAAAAGGCACAUCUCACAUGGCAUCAGGCAAGAGAAGAGAACUUGUGCAGGGAAACUUCCCUUUACAAAACCAUCAAAUCUCCUGAGAUUUAUUCACCAUUAUGAGAGCAGCAUGGGAAAGACCCACCCCUGUGAUUCAAUUACCUCCCACCAGGUCCCUCCCACAACACAUGGGAAUUGUGGGAGCUACAAUUCAAGAUGAGAUUUGGGUGGGGACACAGCCAAACCAUAUCACUGGCCCUCAAGGCCACUGGAGCAUGCCAUGAAGUCUGCUGCCUCGGGGUCUUUGUAUCUUCUAUCCAGAAUGCUCUUCUGCAUUUCACACCUCUAUGCCCUCUCCCCUAGACCUUCUCAGGCAUCCCAUCUAAAAGCAUAACCCUCUUUCUAUCAAUUCUCUCUGUUUUCCUUACUUUAUUUUAUUUAAUUUUUUUUUUUUGAGACAGAGUAUUGCUCUGUCCACCCAGGCUGGAGUGCAGUGGUGUGAUCUCGGCUCACUGCAAGCUCCGCCUCCCUGGGAUAAAGUGAUUCUCCUGCCUCAGCCUCCCAAGUAGCUGGGACUACAGGCACGGGCCACCAUGCCUGGCUAAUUUUUGUAUUUUUAGUAGAGAUGGGGUUUCACCAUAUUGGCCAAGCUGGUCUUGAACUCCUGACCUUGUUAUCUGCCUGCCUUGGCCUCCCAAAGUGCUGGGAUUACAAGCAUGAGCCACUGCACCCUGCCUUCCUUACUUUAUUUUUUCCUUAGCAGGCAUCACUACCUAAUAUACCACACAUGAUUUUAACCAAAAAUAUAUCAUUUUUAAUAGUCCGGUUGGUUCUCCACUGGAGGGGAAGGUCCAUGCAGGCAGGAUUUUCUUUUUAUCUGUGUCAUACUCAAUCCCUAGUGAGUCAAAGAAGACCUGGCACAUAAUAGGGGUUACAUAAACAUCUGUGGAAUGGAAGAAAGAGAGAAUAAUUUACGAAAUAAGUAGUGCUAUUAAACAGGCAUUGUACCUGCACAGGAGUCUAGAAUUUAAGGAAGAAACUUGUGACUCGUGUAUAAGGAAAUGUUUUAAAAAAAUAUUCACCAUUUAUCCAGCCCUCUUACUGAUCUCUUUUCUUAUGGACAUGAAUGUCAGAUGUGUUGUUAUUUUUAUUUUCUUUCCCUUUGAAUUAGACAAACAUAUCACCUUCAAAAAAAGAAAAGACAAUUUGUUUCUUCCUUAUUAUAUAUUUUUUUUCUUGUCUGAUUGCAUUGGGCAGGACAUUCAGAAAAAUGUUGAAUAGCAACAUAUAAGUUGCCUACAUACACCAUUUUCCAUUAAACAUUUUAAAUUGCCACAUUUUAUAGGUUGUAUACUGUGAUAUCUUGUUUUAAAAAAAC
This 2359-nucleotide long non-coding RNA is filed under the name Homo sapiens (human). Its description in RNAcentral is "HSALNT0279035". Lineage: Eukaryota; Metazoa; Chordata; Mammalia; Primates; Hominidae. The record is from RNAcentral.